AGCGAACGCUGGCGGCAGGCUUAACACAUGCAAGUCGAGCGGGCCUUUCGGGGUCAGCGGCGGACGGGUGAGUAACGCGUGGGAACGUGCCCUCUGGUUCGGAAUAACUCAGGGAAACUUGAGCUAAUACCGGAUACGCCCUUUUGGGGAAAGGCUUGCUGCCGGAGGAUCGGCCCGCGUCUGAUUAGCUAGUUGGUGAGGUAACGGCUCACCAAGGCGACGAUCAGUAGCUGGUCUGAGAGGAUGAUCAGCCACACUGGGACUGAGACACGGCCCAGACUCCUACGGGAUGCAGCAGUGGGGAAUAUUGGACAAUGGGCGCAAGCCUGAUCCAGCCAUGCCGCGUGAGUGAUGAAGGCCUUAGGGUUGUAAAGCUCUUUUAUCCGGGACGAUAAUGACGGUACCGGAGGAAUAAGCCCCGGCUAACUUCGUG
Molecule: ribosomal RNA, 433 nt
Filed under: uncultured bacterium
Lineage: Bacteria
Description: partial 16S ribosomal RNA
Rfam family: Bacterial small subunit ribosomal RNA
Source: RNAcentral